This 9594-nucleotide long non-coding RNA is filed under the name Gallus gallus (chicken). Lineage: Eukaryota; Metazoa; Chordata; Aves; Galliformes; Phasianidae. The record is from RNAcentral.
UGGAAAUGUUAGAUCACAGCUGAUUCAGUAUGUUUCAUGCAUUGUUGAUCAAACAUACAUUGGAGAGAGGAGAAAGAUAUCAGUAAAAUAGUAUCGGCCUGUCUUCCUGAUUAAUUAUGAGAGAGAGUUUUUAUAAACUUAAGUGCAAGUCUGAUUGGAGCUCAGAUUUGUGCUUGAGACCACUUUGUAUGUGAAACCACUUUUUAGUGACAGCACAAUUAGCAAAACAGAACAGUAACUGUAGAAGAAUUAAUUUAUUUUAAACUGUGUAUUUUAAACUUAUUUGUGUGCCAAAAAAAAAAUCUAGUAGACCGAAAGGAGGGAGAAACUUUUCAUAGGGUGUUCAGUAAGCAGAGGCAAGACUGAGAAAACCUGCAAGUGUAAGGAAUUCUGUCAUGUAGGGAAUAAUUUUGCUGUUCUAACUGUUAGUUUAAAAUGAAUGAGCACAUCCCCACCCCCAACAAAAGAACACUGCUAGCACUUACCUGCUAGAAGAUAGUGAGCUUUGUGUGGAUGGUGAUCGAGAACUGUGACUACCCCCAACAGAAGCAGCUGUUGGCAGCUCUAGAUUGAACUAGAAAAUUAGAAGGGGAAAAAAAAAGUUGUGUAAUAGGAUACAGCACAGCAGGAGAGUUUAUAAUGCUUUGUGUUGAAACAUAUGUUGAAAGCUGAUGAACACAGUUUUGCUGUUCUACCAUAAGCAUAUUUAUUGCUGAAUUAGGCAGGUGCCCUUGAAAGACGCCUUAUCAGUAGGCCUUGCUAUGAAUCAGGAUUUUAGUGGCAGUAAACUGGAAAGCUCACCUGGUGAAAGUACUUUUGAAAGGAUGGGGUUAAAUCAGGAUUUGCAUUUAGAACAUCGGCUAACAAUUUGUUGAUGGUUUUGCUGAAGGUCUUCAGUGCACGGAGAUCAAUGUCUUUCUCUUCCUGUGUCUCAGUUUUAGUUUUCUUUAGGGACUGGAUCUCUCUGGAGAGUCUGGAACACUUAACAUAAGUAAGUUUAAAACAUGCUGUGAUGCAGAUGCAGUUUCCUCACAGAAGCCUGCUGAGUUUGAGUGCUGUGGUUUUAACACACAGCACAGCUGUUGACCACUAAAGUUAGAAGUUGUCGUUAAUCAACAUACAGACCUGUUUUAUAACCCUUUCUAGCUUUGGCUUCUGUUCUUCUAUGUCUUUGUUCAGCUGCAAUAUAACAGCUUGUUUUUCCUUAUUUUGCUCCUGGAAAAUGGCCUCCUGCUUCAGUAGUGAAUCCAAACUUUUCUCCAUGCUCUGCAAAUACAUUUGAAUAGUAGUUUUAAUUUAUGAAGCGGUUCUGAUAUCCUUUCAGUUAUAUUACUUUGUCAGAGGAUCUGUUAUUGCUACUACUUGUUUCUAAAUGUAGCUCAGGAAAAUAGCAGUACUGAUACUGCAGCUCUCAGACUGUUCAGUGGAUAAAUACUUGCAUAAAGGACUACUAAUUUCAGUAUAUUCCCAUUGACUUUAAAGGUAUGAAUACUGAAAUUACAGGCACGUGUUUCCAGAUGUGGCUGUGAGUUGUGUCUACAAAUGCUUUAUGCCGUGUAGUACUGAACACUGCAGUGCCAUACUUUCCCUUGCAAGCUAUCCCCCCAGAAAUAACAUUCUUCAUUUAUUUCCCAUGAGAAGGGAUGGGAUGCAGAUGCUAGAGUGAGUAAAAUCAGCUCUGUAAGGGUGGUUCUGUUUUCAAUAAAUAAAUAAAAAGGCAGGAAAGUAUAUGCUUUAAGAGCUCCCCAGAAUUUAUUCCACAAUGAAGACAAACCUAGCUUAAGAGGCAACAUAUCUGACACUGAAGAAGAGGGACAGCUAUGCUACAUGGAGGUAAAAUAAGCAAAAAGAACGUUGAGCUACAGGGCUUAGAACAGUCAUGUGGGAUAUAACAGCAUGCCUUAGGUUUCUUCUGCUUAAGGAUAUCUUAACUUUGAUGUGUGAUAUCUUAGUUAAGUGAUGCUAUUUCUUAAGGGCCGCCUGGAGUGCUUUCUGAUUACAAGGGGAGCCAAGAGAAGUCCCCAGUGUGAAGCCUGAACACAGGUUAUCCUUCCCCUGCUAAGAAUCACCUAUCUUUCUCUAGCUAAACUGGAAUACUGUGGAGGCAAACUGGAACACCUUUAAUGCUGACAAACAAAAAAGUGCCAGAGGCAGCAAGAUGGGUUGAUUUUUAAAACUUGCAAUACUGGACAAGUUGAUACAACGUGCUACAAAGAUGUAAGUAACUGCUAUCUUGGAUGUCAGCACAGAGCAUUUUUCACCUUGCAUGUGGAUUUUCAAAUCUGCAAGGUAUACGUGACUAAAAAGCCUGCUGUUCAGUUGCAACUCAAGGAAAUGCAGAUAAGCAAUUAAUUUUUGAAAGCCUUACAUAAAAAAAAAUAAUUGCAUAUAUUGAUACAAAGAGUAAGUUGUAAAAGAGAAUGAGGCAAAAGCUGUUCCAGAAUUUCCUCUUCUUUUGAUGAGAUGGUUUGUAUGGAUUGAGCUACGUGUUGCAGCCAUUUCUGACUGGAACUUUUGCUUGUGUUUUACCUGGAGGUAUUCCUGAAGUUCCCUGACUUGUCUUCGUUUGUAUCUGUAUUUUUCGUCAGCAACCCUUUUCUCUUCUUCUAGUUUCAGUUUUUCCUCAUACUCCUCACCUGUGAUCCCAAACAAUGAGGCAGGGUUGAUGCUGAACAACUAAUGGUACACAACACAGUUUUCAUUUCAAAAUUAGUUGUGCUUGAAUGUAAUUGCCCUGCAGAAUAUUGCUACGUUAGUGUUGAAGUAUUACAGAUACCUCGAGGUUUAAGAUAUUUUUGUAAUACUCCCUUACUUGUUCCAAGUCACUUACUGGCUUUAUGGAAGAUAAUGAUUUUAAAUCCAUUGUUUCCAGAGCCAGCAGAAGACACAUAAGUUAAAUAUCUUCUAGGAUUAAAUUUAUAUAAUAGCUCAUAGUGAUGCUUUUUAUAAGCUAAAUAAAGGAAUUUCCACUGGAAAAAAAAAAACAACCAAGUUUAUGACAGAAACAACAGGUGAAGAUAAGUUCUAGAAUGUUGAGAUUUCUGAUAUCCAAAAAAGUUUAUAGUUUAUUAUUUUAAGCUGCUGACGCUACCUUAAAAUAGUGCAGUUUCUCUUGCUUUUCCUAAUCAUUUUCCUAGAUGAGAGGUCACUACUUUCUCCUCUCCCAUUCCAUGUGAAAAUCAGAUAUGCUAGCUUAGCUAAAGGACCUACAUUCACUAGAGUGCACGUACCUUAGCUGGCUGUAACUGAGAUAGAGUUGCAGUCUAGUUGCUGUGGGUAUUUUGUGACCCAGCUAGUUCAGGUGACACCAGAAGAUUAUCAGUGACAUUGUUUUGUUUCUGCAAUUUGAGCUGGUUGCAGUGUGAGAUGCAGCAGUGCAGGGAGAGUAGUGCUUUUUGUACUGUGCAACUCUACAUACUUCACUAGUCAUUCCUUUCUCCCGGUAAUGACUUUCCCAGUAAUUAUCUUUAUGCUCUGCUUCCUCUGAAUGUUUCUUCACAGUAUUUAUGUAGGCUUAGAGGAUGUUCACAUAAAUCAGAUGGAAGAAUGUGAACAUUUUCUGUGGUUACUCUGCUCAGCCUUGCUGAACUAAUAAUAGUAGUGUGUGAAUUUCACUCCCUUUUGCUACUACAAGUUUAGUCUCUGGCUGUGAUUCAUUCUUUUGUGCCACUGAAUUUCCCCACUGUAUAGCAGUUAUACCAUCAUCUAUAACUCAUACAGCAAACAGUAAUUUACAUUUUACAUACUUGUCUCAGUGACUUCCUUGAAAGAGUUUCGGUAAUUGCUGUUGCAGUUAUUAAGUAUUUGCAGAGUGUUUUCAAGAGCUACAAUUUCAUUUUCAGCUUUGCUGAUCUUUGCAUCUAAAUCAUCACCUUCACGCUGAAGUGCUUCCUUUUCCUGUGCAGCCUGAAAAUAAAACUGGUAUUUUAUGUGACUGAAUGCAUAUUAAAAACAUUAGGACAAUUAUACAGAGAAGAAUACGUUCAAUAUUAAAAUCCUAGGUAAAUUCUGAGGUUAUCUAUGUCAGGAUUGGACUGAGAUCUGAGUUACUGGAAGCAGUAGGUAUUUUACAGUACUAGAAGCUGGAUGCAUGUAAGUCAGUAGGUCCCAAUGGGAUUAAUUCCAGGUUCUGAAAGAAGGGUUGAUGUUUCUGUGAGAACCCUUACAAUUAUUUUUUCAACAGUCUUGGGAACUGGGAGAGGUCCCAGCUGAUGGGAAGCUGGGAAGAGUCUUAAUUUUUCAAGAAAAGAAAGAAGAUUCUUGUAACUACAGGCCUCACAGUCUCACUUUGCUGCCUGAUAAAAUUAUGGAGACUACUCUGGGAGUUACUGAAAAACAUAUCAAAAACAGUGUAGUCAUUGGUUAUAGCCAACAUAGGUUCACAAAGGAAAAGUCCUGCUUAACCAACUUACUUUCCUUUUGUGAUUUUUUUCCUUUGAUAAGGAUACUUUCCUUUUGUGACCAGGUCACCUAUCUAGUUCACCGAGAGGCCAGGAGAUAAAAUCAUCUUGAAUUUCAGCUAAGAAAUCAAGAAAUGCAUAGAUGUUGUACUGAGGGACAUGGUUUAGUGGGAAAUAUUGGUGAUAGGUGGGUGGUUGGAGUGGAUGAUCUUGGAAGUCUCUUCUAGCCUUGGCGAUUCUGUGAUUCUAAGUUGAACACAAACACAAUAAUAUACCUUUAUUACAUAGUAGGUCUGAGUUUUCUCCUCUUCUCCUUCAGGUGGCAUCAUGAUAACAGUAAGAAUUUCGUAUCUGCAUCUCAGUUUAUCGAUUUUAUUUAGGCGAUCUUGAAAUUCAGCACUGAAGUAUUAUGGGGAAAAAAUGAAUGAGAUGACCAAAUGUUUGUCUAACAGUGCUCUAUGUGCAGUUCUUGCUGCAGCAGUUUAAAUUAUUGUUAGUCCUGCAGCCUGCCCCUCUACUAGGGUGCAGGCAAGGCAGCAGUUGUGCUGUUCCUGUUUUUUUGAUGCUUUCUGUCUUCUCCCAGCCACAGUCACCUGUUUUUCUGGUUAUUUACUGUUAUCUCUCAGUUCUAAAAUGAGUCAAAUUUAUUUUCACAUUUCAGAUCAUAGCGUUAUGAAAGGCUGUGCCACAGUCCUCCCUGGAAACAUUUAAAAGUUUGGCAUUUAAAUCCUGCAGCUGCACAAGCUGCCCCCUGCUGAUACUAUCUUAAUAUUGCCACUCCAAGAUGAGAGUAAGCAACAGUAAGCAAUAACCCCAAAUCAAAUUACAGGGAAGUAUCAAUUAGCUGUGUAAUUAUCAAAGGAAAAAAAAAAACAAAACCACCCAUUCUGCACUCCUGGUGAGCAGUUAAGCUUUAGUCACACUAAAUCAUUCUGAUUUCCUAUUGUGUGGGGUGCAGUUAGCAGAGGAGUGAAUAAAAAUCCUGCCAGAUUUCAGCAGUUCAGCUGCUAAAGCAUUGAUUUUUUACUAGAUACAGAUAGUGGUAUUUAAGAGUUAAAGCCUGUUCCAAAUAUUUCAUAAUGAUUAUUGCAGAAGAGAAAAGUUUUUCUAUGUGGUUGCUUUAUCAGAAGGUAUCUUCUGUAUUAUAAUACAUUGGCAGGAAUUAAGAUCCACAUAGCUGAGCAGAUUUUUUUUGCUAUACUGAACAGAUAACUAAGUGCUGUUUUUUUAAUAUAAAAAUAAGAGAACACCCAUGCUAGAUGAGCCAAAUAAAUUAGUUUUAUCAAGACCUCUUCAACAACAACUUUCAUGUUUUAAACACUUGGAGUACUUUCUCAUGCUCCAAACACCGACUGCACGUUUCCUGAUUAUUUUGAACAAUGCAGGGUUGGACACACAACUUGUGCUUCAAACAAAAUGCCUGCAACUGGCAUUUCUUCUCGGUACUGUAGAGGAUCUUCAGCAACAUAGUAAGUAGCAGUCUCUCGUUGACCAGUGAUAAUGGACAGCAAAGCCAGAGAUGCUGUCUAGUGGUUAAUGCUUGCACGCCAGUUUUCAGAGAAAAGAUUGCUUGUUAGCCUUAACUGUCUCAGUAUGUGACUGACAGCAAGACUUACUUCACUCAAUUCCUCCAACUGGCAAAAUUGGUUAAAAUGCCUCUCUUUUUAAGCAAGCUCACAUGUAAAAGGUACUUGAUAAAAUCAUUUUAAUUACUUUGUUUUUUUCUCAUUUACUUCGAAGAUGAAGGAACUAAAGGAUGAUUGGUUAGGAUUUUCAGGGAAACGUAGUGUUCUAAAUUGUAAUGUUGUUUUUGAGUUGCUGCACCAGAGAUUUUGAAAAUAAUCAUUACCUUAUGCGUUGCCGUUCCUGAUCCACGAGUCUGAUCUGGGAAUCCAGCAUUGCCUUAUGGAUCUUAAUUUCCUCAGUUCUUUCUGCUAUGGCUUUCUUUAACUCCAGCUUUUGUUUUUCCAGUGUUAGAACCUUCUCUGUCUUAUGACAGAGUGUAUCUUGAAGACGCUUUAAUUCUAGUUUUAGGAGAUUAUCUUCAAUCAUCAUCUCCUAUCAAAUGCCAGAAAGGUUUCAAAAUAAGAAAGUAUCAUUUUCAGCACAAGGAUAUUCAGUAAGCUUCGUGGCACAACAGUGUAUUGGCAGAGAUAGAAGAAGAAGUAUCAGGGAACUAAAGCGUAAAAUGGUGAGAUUUCAUCCACAUUGUUCCUGUAAGUAUCUCUUCACAGUAAAUUAAUAGAUGCCACAAAAAGUCAUGUGUAGCUAAUGUUGAUGGAAAGCAUCUUUCUGACUAAUACAUUACAAAUACUGUUCAAGAAUAGCGCAUCCAAGUUAAAAUACUACCCUGAAGCUCCAGAGCUGCCAAGCUCAGUGUCAUCUUAGGUUAUCCGCCACAGACGCGAGCAGAGAAACCCUGCUAAUGGUUUAGCCACCCUGGUAAUAGUCUUAAGUAGAAGCAAGUAGGUUUUUCAUUUUAAUGGAGUGCUUUAUUAUUCCAACUUAAGUGUUUGUUCUAGAAAGAGCUUGCAAAUUCAAAUGAAUCCUCAUUUGUAGAAACCAUAAAAACAUUUUACCUUGACAGUUUUCUCUUCUUCCCUUAGCAUUUCUUCCAUCCUCAAAGCAUUGUCUUCUGAACUGAGUGUCUUCUCAGUUACAAGCUUCAACUUAUUGGAAAGACCUGCAUUCCUUUCUUUAAGAAAGCUUAGUCUAAACAAAAAUAGAUGAUUUAACAAGUUGCAAGCAUGUUGCACUUAGAACACUGCUAAAAUCAAGUAUCAUCACGUAUCUUACUGAGCAGCUGCCUAAUAACACAGGCUGAACUGGAACCUGUGAUAACCAAGGCUGCAGCUGGAUGUUUCACUCCCUUUAAAAACAGUGAUUACCAGGAAUAUUUUCUAUCUAAGAAAUUACUGUACACAGGAGUAAAAUAGACAUGAAGUAACCAGAGGGUUGGAGGCUUUAAUAAUUAACAUUAUUUAAGGUUCUUUGCUAGAAGAAGGAUCUGAUUAUAUCUGUAAUUCUUACGAACUGUAUUUUUAAAAGUCUGUUUCUUACCUGGCUUUUUUUUUCUCAAUUUCUUUCUUCAUAUUAGUUACCUGCAUUCUUAAAGACUCAAGGUGAGCAGCAGUUUUGUUCACAGUGGAUUUCAAAAUGUCCAGCUAAUAAAUUAAUUAGGAAAUCAGUACGUGAACCACCUGCUAUGGAAAAGCUAUCCAAAGUUAAUUCAACUGUAUUUUAUUAAAUUUUUAAAUUAUUAAACUUUUAAAUUGCCAAGCUUGUUGAGUAGCCCAGUAAUACCAUUUUCUUAAGAGAAAACUUCCUCAGAUAAUCUAAGUGUAUCCUUUCUGCAUAGAUUCAUGAGACUUGGACUACCUCCUGGAACAACUACUACAGAUAUUUAAGUAAUGAAGCAAUGCGGCUCAUUUCUAGCACUAAAUGCAGAUGAAAUAUAAGUAUAAACAGCAUCAAGCAUUUCCGAUUCAGAGGGCAGAUUUAUUCUGUUGCCUUUGAUUAGAAAGCUGUGAGAAAAUGUUUUUCAAGAAUUUUAAUCUGACUGCAAGGGCAAUCAACGCCCAUUUCUGGCAGUAUAGGACAGGAAUUGUUUGGAAGAAAUUUCUCUCAUCUUUAUACAUUACUGGAGUCUAAGUACAGUAAUGGCAAGACACAUCUGAAGCAUCUAAUAGUGUUAGAUCAUUUAAAAGAAAAUGAAUUCAUUUAAUUCCAAUGCCACAGAGAAUACAAGCUCAUCUCAAUGGCCGUAUGCUUGCUUUUCUUCAGUGCUGUCAUCGAAGGGAUUAAGUUCAGGUUUAAGAUCCAAAUAACCUAGAGUAAACUGGGAAGAACAGAUGUUUUGUUGAACUAUUGAAGAGCCUAAUAUGUGAACAGGAAAGUAAAUGCUAUUCAUGUAUUUCCUCCAUCUAAUCAAAAUAAAGAAAUUAUAGCUUCAGUCUGGUUUCCUGAACUGACGGGGCAUCCUCACCUCAUUCUCCAGCUGAACUCUGUAAGUAUCCUGAGUUUGAUACUCUUUCCGGAGACUGGUCGCUUCCCGCUCAGCAGAAGAAAUUCUUUUUUCAUAUUCCAUAUUAUUAAUAGUUUCAUUCACUAAAAAGGAAGCCUUCUCUUUCAGCACACUUUCUUUCUUUCGCAUCUCCUGUUUUAACUCUGCUAGUAGCUAAUGGGAGAAAAACACUUCAGGUUUUCUUGCAUUAUGUAAGAUGUGUUAGAUUAGAGCAAAACCAUAAGACAGAUUACUUUUAAGACUUCUCAUACGUUUGUUCACAGAUGUAGAAAUGCUAACUCCCUCCAAUUCUAAAUGUUCAGUUUUCUUUCCCUUUCUUUAUAUCACAGCCCAGACAUAAUCCCCUCACUGCUGCUGACUGUCUUUGCGCUCUAAGAAAUAAUAACACUCCAUCUUGUUGCUUCUCAGAUUCUUAGGUGAUACAAAAGAGCAGUACUAAAACUGGCACGCUUUGCAUUUUCAGACUGGAAAUUAAACCUGAUACAGCAUCAAGCAGAGCACUAUUAUUUACACUGAGAGAGAAUGCAUUCAAAAUAAAUUCUGACUACAUUCCAGACAUAUAUGGACUUUGAAAACACCUUAAUAAAAUACAGAGGUCAACACAAAAAGAACACUAAGCAUCUAAAAAAACCAACUAGUCUCAUGAAUAAGUGCCAAAAUUUCUCUCGAUCUCACAGAUAGAAAAGUAGGCUGAUACAGUGAUAUGAAUCAGGCAAAGCAGUUUUACCAAAGCACAGUGGUCAAUCUGCUGAUCUCUUUUUUGCAUCUGUUGUAUUGCAUUCUCCCACUGCCUGAUGACUUCUUGCCUUUCCUGAUGAACUCUGCGAAAAUGUUCAGCUGUCUUGUCAAGCUCCAUCUGCUUAAAAGAAAGCAUCCCUAUGAUUUUUUGUUUUAAAAAAAAAUUGUACGUAAAAAGAUACUUCAAGAACCUCAUGUACAAACCUGAGCAGUUAUGGUUUCUGUAAGCUCAUUAUCAAGAGCUCUGCGUUUCUGAUUUGCUUGCAUGGUCAACUUUUCUACUUGAAGGAUUAGUGCCUGAAAUGAAAUGAUAUGAAAACAGACUGUAUUUAAAAGUAAAUAUAUUAAAAUAUCUUAAAUUUCUAAAGCUCUGGAGCAACUAAGGAUGGAGUUAUUGAGGCAUCCAUUUUACUGUAUUUUUGAGAACAAAGA